This 730-nucleotide ribosomal RNA is filed under the name uncultured archaeon. RNAcentral's name for it is "bacterial SSU rRNA". It matches the Rfam family "Archaeal small subunit ribosomal RNA", at positions 53 to 788 of the family's 1478-position model. The record is from RNAcentral.
GCGAGUCGAGAGGGUUCGGCCCUCGGCUGACGGCUCAGUAACACGUGGAUAAUCUACCCUUAGGUGGAGGAUACCCUCGGGAAACUGAGAAUAAUACUCCAUAGGUCUAGGAUGCUGGAAUGCAUCUAGACUGAAAACUCCGGUGCCUAAGGAUGAGUCUGCGGACUAUCAGGUUGUAGUCAGGGUAAAGACCUGACUAGCCUACGACGGAUACGGGUUGUGAGAGCAAUAACCCGGAGAUGAUAUCUGAGACACGAUAUCAGGCCCUACGGGGCGCAGCAGGCGCGAAAACUUCACACUGUGCGAAAGCACGAUGAGGGAAUCUCAAGUGCCAGCUCGUAAGAGUUGGCUGUUUUUCUGUCUAAAACACAGAGAGAGUAAGAGCUGGGUAAGACGGGUGCCAGCCGCCGCGGUAAUACCUGCAGCUCAAGUGGUGACCGUUAUUAUUGGGCCUAAAACGUUCGUAGCCGGUUUAGUAAAUGCCUGGGUAAAUCGUGUAGCUUAACUAUACGAAUUCCGGGUAGACUGCUAAGCUUGAGACCGGGAGAGGCUAGAGGUACUCCUGGGGUAGAGGUGAAAUUCUGUAAUCCUGGGGGGACCACCAGUGGCGAAGGCGUCUAGCUAGAACGGGUCUGACGGUGAGGGACGAAGCCCUGGGGCGCAAACCGGAUUAGAUACCCGGGUAGUCCAGGGUGUAAACGCUGCUCGCUUGAUGUUAGUCGGGCUCCGA